CUAGCCAGUUCGUCUUGUGUGAUCGUCUGUGGUAUUGUGUCUGUAUGGGCAACGGUAUGGGACUGACGCAGUAAUGAACACUGUAGGGCAGUAGUAUUGUUGUGUGGUUGUACUGGUUUAUAGCUAUUUUUAGAACAAAUUUAUCCGCACCUCAAGCUACCUACUAGCUGUGGAAACAAAUUGACGUUCAAAGUAACGAAAUUACGCCAGACCUCUGGACUUACCAUGCUGAAGUUUAUUGUCGCAUUUGGAGUUGGUGUGUAUACUGGGUUAUAUAUCAGCCAAAACUACCAGGUUCCUAGAGUGGAUGAGCCCCAAGAGUUGUGGCGGAAAAUUAAAGAAUUUACAGAUCCCUACCGCAAGCCUCCAGAUAGCUGAAUUGACUUCAUACAUGUAAUUGCACUGCAAUAUUGUUCAGAAACAUUGUAUAGAUAGACAUUUUAACCAUGUGCAAGGAAUUUUUUGUGUUUUCAUUUCCUUUCUUCCUCCGUCUCAAAUAUGUGGUGUCAUGUCAUGGCCAUUAGUUGACUUUUUUUUUACAGAACUUAAUCUGGGCAUGUGAGUUCUCUUCACUGGUCACACAUCAGAGCUUUUCAAUGAAAAUGGAACUAAGUUUAAGCAAAAACGAGGAUCCAAUGAGAAACGUUCCACGCAGAAUGCACGAAGCAGUCUAUCCUUGGGAAAAAAAAAACUCCACCAAAUUAUCUCUUCGUAAAUAUGAGGAGGAGCGUUUGCUAAUAUGCACUGAUGUACUUGCACCACUAUAUACUUCCUGAGUAAGAAAGCAUGCCUUGAAUGUUACAAAUUUGUAGGUGCCAUAGUAAUGCACAUAUCGAGUUUCUUUCUGCCCAGAAUUCAAAGCACUGUAUGUUACAUAACAUUAUUGCUUUAUGUUCUGUGUUAUCUUUAGUAAAUUGGUGAAUUGUUGGCUUGGGAUAUAAACUAUUGUGGUUGUACGAUUGUAAUAUUGCUAGCAAAACAUGGCUCUAUGCCAAAGCAUGUAGGUGGGCCAAGGUUGCUUGGCCUGCUCACCGAAGUAUUUUUGGUAAAUAAAACUAAUAUUUGCAUUGUCA
Molecule: long non-coding RNA, 1073 nt
Organism: Ornithodoros turicata
Lineage: Eukaryota; Metazoa; Arthropoda; Arachnida; Ixodida; Argasidae
Exons: 3
Source: RefSeq, a predicted model, not a curated record